RNAcentral lists this signal recognition particle RNA (268 nucleotides) under Christensenella sp. Its description in RNAcentral is "signal recognition particle sRNA large type". It matches the Rfam family "Bacterial large signal recognition particle RNA". Rfam says of the family: The signal recognition particle (SRP) is a universally conserved ribonucleoprotein involved in the co-translational targeting of proteins to membranes. Archaeal SRP consists of a 7S RNA and homologues of the eukaryotic SRP19 and SRP54 proteins. In most bacteria, the SRP consists of a 4.5S RNA and the Ffh protein (a homologue of the eukaryotic SRP54 protein). The record is from RNAcentral. Lineage: Bacteria; Bacillati; Bacillota; Clostridia; Christensenellales; Christensenellaceae. RNAcentral also lists the same sequence under 2 other names.
CCGCGCUAGGCGGGGAGUUAGCGGUGCCCUAUACCUGCAAUCCGCUACAGCAGGGUACAAUCCCCGUUUUGAGGCUUGAGCUUGUGGGGUCUGGGAUCGGCAAGGAGCGUUGAUCGCCGGGUCCUGUGCAAUCGGCAUCUGUGAACCAUGUCAGGUCCUGACGGAAGCAGCAUUAAGCGGAGCAGCCGAUGUGCCGCGGGUUUGCCUGGCAGGAGCCGCCUGCCGUAUAUUCCGCCCGGAAGCGCAUUGCCGAGAAACGGGUGCGCGG